UGCCCCUGGCCAGGGAGGGGCUCGUUCUCCAUGAACACCACCUCACCAGCUGUCCAGGCUUGCCAAGGCUUCCGCAACAGCCCCGGACAAGGUGGAAUGGAAUUCUCCCGGGGCUGGGGCAGGGCAAGAAUCGGAGAGUUCCUCCAGCACCCAGUGCCUGCCUCGCAGACCGUGGGAAGCCUGUGCCGUCCACGCAAGGCACCCACAUGGAGCCACGACCUGGGCUGUGGCCCAGCUCUGUGUCCAUCACUGCAGCUCAAGAGACACCAUGGGGCAGGAGUUUGGUGCGAUGUUCAAGAUGCCGCUCAGGACACCUGCACCCCUAACGGAGGCCCUGGUUUCAAGUCCCAGCUCUGCUCCUGAUCCAGCCACCUGAGAAUGUGCACCUAAGGGAGCCGCAGGUGACGGCUCAAGGGCUUGGACCCCUGCCACCCAUGUGGGAGACCCAGACGGAGUUCCAGGCUCCCAGAUUUGGCCUGGUCCAGUCCUGGCUGUUGUAGGCGCUUAGGGAGUAAACUAGCAAAUGACAGAUAUUUCUCUCUCCUUUUAAAAUUUUAUUUGAGAGAGAGAGACAGAGAAGGGGACCAGGGAUGGAUUUGCGCCUGGAUUCUGGGUAACCUGAUCCUUUGUUUGCAGGAGUGGAAGAGACAGAGUAGUGCCAGGUGUUUAUCCGCUGUCCUUUGGCUUGGCUCUGUGGCUUUGGGCACCUUUGCUACCACAGUUCCCAGAAUCCUAUGCAGUUGGCCUUCUACCUGGUGCUCUGGGUAGGAGGCCCUGGCAGAAGAUCCAAAGGCGGGACAAGGUCCUUCCUUCUCCCUGUUUGGCGCUGUCCCUACUAGUGCAACCCUUGGCCCCAGCCCUGCUGCACCUGCUGCACCUGCUCAGUGUCUGAGCUCCUGCUCCAGGGCCCCCACUCGCAGCCUCUGGGUUCCCUAAGCCCAGCUUCUCCCCUCUCAUUCCCCAGCCCCAGAGGCCACAGCUGCUCUCCAGGGUUAUUUUCUCCAGGUUCCCCUCAGGGGCUCCCUUUAGUCUCCUUCUGCCUGCAGGCCCAAGUCCUUCCAUUAAAUUCCCUCUGUCGAAAUCCUGGGAUGAUUUCUGUUUUCCUGAUGGGCUCCCACUGGGACAGUAAGAACCCAAGCUGCCCUCCAGGGAGCUGCCACGGCAUACACGAGACCAAGCAGGGCAAAGGGGAGCACAGCGGCUUUGGGCCAGGUUGGUCCCAAGACAAAAUUCCCAGCUGGCAUUUGCUCCCCGAGCGACUUGGGGCUAGCUCCCUGGUUUCUCCGGGCCUCCAUACCCUCACCUGAAAAUAGGGUUGAUUACACAACUCUGAUUCAUCAGUCUCCUCGGGCACAGACUAAAAAAAAGUUAGAUGCAGAUUAGGCAAAAGGGUGAACUCAUGCUGGACUAUUUCCAGGGGAAUAGCUACCAAGCACAGAGGGCAGGAAGGCAAGGGCAUAGCUUGCCUCACACGGCUGGGAUCAGAGACGCCAGCACAGCCAAGGUCUCUCUGCCCCCCCCCCAAUCUGCAUCUCUCAGGGUGCGGCCACGUUCUCACCCGAGGUCACCGUCUCCAUGUGGGGGGAAGACAACGCUCUCUAGAAGCUUCCAGACUCUCGCCCUUACAGCUUUGCCCAGAGAAGAAAAGGUUUCCCUGGUCAAGAGCCUGAAGUGAACCUGAAGGGGCUCAGACCGGGUGUGCCCAGGGCUCGUGCCUUCGGGAGGCCCUGUGUGAAGAUCCCCUCCGUGACUUCCAGCUUCCCGAGGCUCACGUCCACAUCCUUCCUGUCCCCUUGCCCCCUCUGCUUCCCCAAGACCCCCUGUGAGUAAACCAAGACGCCUGACUAAUCUUCCCAUGUCAAGACCCUUAAAUGCAUCUCGCCUGUAAAGUCCACUUCCCUGUGUAAGGUACUAACACAGUUGCAGGUUCUGGAAAUUCGGAGGCAGACGUGUUUGAGGGCCAUUAUUCUGCCAAGCACGACAGCUACCCAGGGCUUUCACCAGAACCGCUCCAAUCCAACCACGCACCCUACACAGCCUCCCAGUCCACGCUCUGAGCUGCAGAGGUGUCCGGGUGCGUGACUCCUGCACAGCACCUCCCCGCUCCCUGCUUCAGUCUCCCGAGCCACAGAGGCUCAAGGAGCACAGCCAAGGUCAUGCUGUUCCCUCGAGCCCCCAAGCACAGGCUCGCCACCAAGCCACUGCCCCCGGCAGGCCAGGCCAGAGGUGGCCUUUCAGACAGCCAGUCAGAAGGGAGAAGCCAGGCAGGCCAUUGGAGGGCGCGUUGGCCAAGGAGGCCAAGCGGAUCAUCACUAAAGAGGAAAAGGAAGCUG
Long non-coding RNA from Oryctolagus cuniculus (rabbit), 2333 nucleotides. RefSeq lists it as uncharacterized. NCBI's taxonomy places the organism in Eukaryota, Metazoa, Chordata, Mammalia, Lagomorpha, Leporidae. The record is from RefSeq and is a predicted model, not a curated record.